AAAUUGUUGAAAGGGAAGCGCUUGUGACCAGACUUGCGCCGGGCAGCUCAUCAGGGGUUCUCCCCUGUGCACUCUGCCCGGCUCAGGCCAGCAUCGGUUCUUGUGGGAGGAUAAGAACGGUAGGAACGUGGCCCCCUUUCGGGGGGGUGUUAUAGCCUACCGUACGAUACUCCCGUGGGGACCGAGGUUCGCGCUCCGCAAGGAUGCUGGCGUAAUGGUCAUCAGCGACCCGUCUUGAAACACGGACCAAGGAGUCGUCCAUUAGAGCGAGCGUUUGGGUGUAAAACCCGCACGCGUAAUGAAAGUGAACGCAGGUGAGAGCUUCGGCGCAUCAUCGACCGAUCCUGAUGUCUUCGGAUGGAUUUGAGUAAGAGUUUUAACGGACGGACCCGAAAGACAGUGAACUAUGCUUGUAUAGGGUGAAGCCAGAGGAAACUCUGGUGGAGGCUCGCAGCGGAUUGACCAGCAAAUCGUU
Molecule: ribosomal RNA, 475 nt
Filed under: Cytospora sp. FJ-2017d
Lineage: Eukaryota; Fungi; Ascomycota; Sordariomycetes; Diaporthales; Cytosporaceae
Description: eukaryotic LSU rRNA
Rfam family: Eukaryotic large subunit ribosomal RNA
Source: RNAcentral